This 429-nucleotide ribosomal RNA is filed under the name Bacteroidota bacterium. Its description in RNAcentral is "Bacteroidetes bacterium partial 16S ribosomal RNA". It matches the Rfam family "Bacterial small subunit ribosomal RNA", at positions 355 to 776 of the family's 1533-position model. The record is from RNAcentral. Lineage: Bacteria; Pseudomonadati; Bacteroidota.
UAGGGAAUCUUCGGCAAUGGGGGGAACCCUGACCGAGCAACGCCGCGUGAGUGAAGAAGGUUUUCGGAUCGUAAAGCUCUGUUGUUAAGGAAGAACGAGUGUGAGAAUGGAAAGUUCAUAUUGUGACGGUACUUAACCAGAAAGGGACGGCUAACUACGUGCCAGCAGCCGCGGUAAUACGUAGGUCCCGAGCGUUGUCCGGAUUUAUUGGGCGUAAAGCGAGCGCAGGCGGUUAGAUAAGUCUGAAGUUAAAGGCAGUGGCUCAACCAUUGUAGGCUUUGGAAACUGUUUAACUUGAGUGCAGAAGGGGAGAGUGGAAUUCCAUGUGUAGCGGUGAAAUGCGUAGAUAUAUGGAGGAACACCGGUGGCGAAAGCGGCUCUCUGGUCUGUAACUGACGCUGAGGCUCGAAAGCGUGGGGAGCGAACAGG